GCCGGUGUGGCGGAAUGGCAGACGCGGCGGACUCAAAAUCCGCUUCUCGAGAGGGAGUGGGGGGUUCGAGUCCCUUCACCGGCACCA
This 87-nucleotide transfer RNA is filed under the name Cohnella rhizosphaerae. RNAcentral's name for it is "tRNA-Leu". It matches the Rfam family "tRNA". Rfam says of the family: Transfer RNA (tRNA) molecules are approximately 80 nucleotides in length. Lineage: Bacteria; Bacillati; Bacillota; Bacilli; Caryophanales; Paenibacillaceae. The record is from RNAcentral.